CCGGCAAGAAAGCAGAGCUCCGGAAAGCUAAGAAAGGGAAAUCCUCAUCUGGGUCCGGGUCAGGAAUGUACCUUCCUCCAGUUCCUUUAAAAGAAUCGGUUUCUGGUGGAUUAAAAGUGGAACUCGGGUUUAGCCCGUAUAGUGAACGGGUAAACGGGAGGAUCGCAAUUCUGGGGUUAUCAGCUUUGUUAUUAGUAGAGCUUGCAACGGGUAAAAGUGUAAUCAACUAUCACACACCAGCAAUUGUGUUGAUUCAGGUUUAUUUUGUAACCGCGGCUACUG
This 282-nucleotide long non-coding RNA is filed under the name Populus trichocarpa (black cottonwood). RNAcentral's name for it is "long non-coding RNA (PTRI_LNC002613)". Lineage: Eukaryota; Viridiplantae; Streptophyta; Magnoliopsida; Malpighiales; Salicaceae. The record is from RNAcentral.